RNAcentral lists this ribosomal RNA (498 nucleotides) under uncultured bacterium. Its description in RNAcentral is "partial 16S ribosomal RNA". It matches the Rfam family "Bacterial small subunit ribosomal RNA", at positions 30 to 523 of the family's 1533-position model. The record is from RNAcentral.
AUUGAACACUGGCGGCAUGCCUUACACAUGCAAGUCGAGCGGUAACAGGUCUUCGGAUGCUGACGAGUGGCGAACGGGUGAGUAAUACAUCGGAACGUGCCUAGUAGUGGGGGAUAACUACUCGAAAGAGUGGCUAAUACCGCAUGAGAUCUACGGAUGAAAGCAGGGGAUCGCAAGACCUUGUGCUACUAGAGCGGCCGAUGGCAGAUUAGGUAGUUGGUGGGAUAAUAGCUUACCAAGCCGACGAUCUGUAGCUGGUCUGAGAGGACGAUCAGCCACACUGGGACUGAGACACGGCCCAGACUCCUACGGGAGGCAGCAGUGGGGAAUUUUGGACAAUGGGCGAAAGCCUGAUCCAGCAAUGCCGCGUGCAGGAUGAAGGCCUUCGGGUUGUAAACUGCUUUUGUACGGAACGAAAAGCCCCGGGUUAAUACCCUGGGGUCAUGACGGUACCGUAAGAAUAAGCACCGGCUAACUACGUGCCAGCAGCCGCAGUAA